Molecule: long non-coding RNA, 2069 nt
Organism: Homo sapiens (human)
Lineage: Eukaryota; Metazoa; Chordata; Mammalia; Primates; Hominidae
Gene: EPIC1
Product: epigenetically induced MYC interacting lncRNA 1
Source: Ensembl
AGUCCGCCAUUGCAAACACGAAGCUCUUCCAGAAACGCCCUCACAGACACCCCGGAAGUCACGUACCCACUCUGUAGGUGCCCCGGGGCACAGGCAAGCGGACGAGCCAGUUAUCCCUCAGAGCUCCUGCUGCCUCGCCCGCUUUCUCUCGGAAACGUGAAGUGUGGCCUCAGCUGAAAGUGAGGUGGGCCUCAUUCAAUCAGUUGAAUUCUUCAAGAGAGAAAAACUGAAGUCCCUUAGAAGGAAAGAGUUCUGCCUUCAGACUGUCUUUGAACUUAAGACUGUAGCGUCGACUCCUGCCGGAAUUUCCAGCCUGCUGGCCAGCUCUGCAGAUUCACACUUGCCAGCCUCCACAAUCUAAAUCAAAGGUUUCGCCAUCAUGUAAACCCUUGGGCGACAGAGUCUACCUGUCUCCCCCUGAUAUUGUUCUAUGAGAUUUCGAUGCUAUCUUCAUUGCCAGCAGCCCUGACAAAGAUGCACUGCAGACGGAUAGCCUCUCAGGAACCUGCUUACCUCAGAGCCUGCUGCGGACUGAGUUGUCUUCUCCAAAAUCCAUUUGUGGAGGCCCUCAUCCCCAGUGGGAGAGUAUUUGGAGAUGAAGCAUUUGGAGGUGAUUAAGCUUAGAUGAGCUCAGAGUGGAGCCUCAGGAUGGCAUCGAUGCCCUGGUAAAGAGGGACACUGAGACCUGGCCCUCCCUUGCUCUCCACCGUGUGAGGACACAAUGAGAUGGUGGCCACCUACAAGCCAGGAACUGAACCCUACGGGGCCUUGACACUGGCCGUUCCAGCCUCCAGAAUGGCUAGGAAUAAAUGUCUGCUCUUUAAGUCACUGGGCGGUGGAGCUUUGUUAUGGCAGCACCAGGGGCUGGUUGAGAGCCUUUGCAUGGCUCUUGUUCCACCUGGAAUGAGAUUUCUAACUCUUGGCUACCUCACCCCCUUACCUCAUUGUUUCAUGUUGCAACCACCCACCCACUCCCCAUGUCUCUGGCAUUCUCAUUUAUUUUUUCUUUGAUUUCAUAGAACACAUCACAAAGCCAUUUGCUCAUGCAUGAUGUUUAUUGUCUAUUUUCUAUCUCCCUGCUAGAGGGUAAGAUGCUCAAGAACACUGCUCUGUCUGCCUCCCUGGACCCAGAAAAUGCUUGGCGUGUGGUAGAACUUAGAUAUAUUUGUGUUGAAUAAAUUAAUUGAAGGGGUUUGCAGACUAUUCAGUACAAUCGAUUAUAAAAACCCGAACCAGCCCCAUCAUUGCUAAACUUUAAUGAGGCAAGUAGGAUAUCAUUUUUAGUGGGAAAAAUCAGGUUCAUUCAAAGUGUUGGGGAAUCCAGUGCUAUCAAACUUCUCAACAGCAACCUUGAAAGCUAGGAGAUAGAUAAUGCCUUCAAAUUUCUAGAGGAAAAUAUCUCUCACGUAGCAUUUUCUUUUCUUUCUUUCUUUCUUUUUUUUUUUUGAUGGAGUCUCGCUCUGUCACCCAGGCUGGAGUGUAGUGGUGGGAUCUCGGCUCACUGCAAGCUCUGCCUCCCAGGUUCACCCCAUUCUCCUGCCUCAGCCUCCAGAGUAGCUGGGACCACAGGCACCCACCACUACGCAUGGCUAAUUUUUUGUAUUUUUAGUAGAGAUGGGAUUUCACCAUGUUAGCCAGGAUGGUCUCGAUCUCCUGACCUCGUGAUCCGCCCUCCUCGGCCUCCCAAAGUGCUGGGAUUACAGGCGUGAGCCACCGCACCUGGCCUCACAUAGCAUUUUCUACUCAGCCCAACUUUCAUUCACAUAGGAGGGAAGAAUAAAGGCAUUUUCUUACAUGCAGACUCUAAGCAGAUAUUACUCAUUUGCCUUUUUUGGGGACAGUCCUGUAGCAUGUGAUUCAACAAAACACAUCCAUAAACCAAGUAGCUCCAAGAAACAGUGACUACACCCAGGAAGGAAAGGAAGAGGCUGUCCAGGAUGGUGAUGAUGAACAUCCAAGAAAGCAAUUAUCAGACAAAGGGACAUACAUUGACAGGGGCGUGUGCAUCGGCAGGGGAGUUGCAGGAUAUACCAGUCCUAAGCACAUUAAAAUCUCAAAAAAAAAAAAAA